This 31-nucleotide non-coding RNA is filed under the name Rattus norvegicus (Norway rat). The record is from RNAcentral. Lineage: Eukaryota; Metazoa; Chordata; Mammalia; Rodentia; Muridae.
UCUUCAGGACGUCUCUGCUGAUUGCUGCUGC